AAAGAACAUGUGAUAGGCAGAGGAGAUAGAAUCAGUGACCUUUUAAUCACUGGAUGUGGGGGAUGAAGUCGUGGGAAUACUCCCAGAUUUCUGGCUUGGGUGGUGAUGUCACCAAACAGGAUACAGAAAAAAGAGCAAGUUUAAUGAUGGGUUGGCAACUUUAAAGUGAGCUCCACUGAGCUGAGUGGGACACACCUGGAGCCAUAUCUCAGGGAGGGAGAGGAGAGGGCCAAGGAUAGCAUUCUGAGCAAUAUCGAGUACCCAAGGGGCGGGUGGCACAGAGAGACAGAGCUCGGCGAAGAACCAGGAGUGAGUGGUGACAUCCUGGCUGUCCAUUUCUCCACACUGUCAAGGGAAAAAACAAACAACAGCUUCACAUGUGGUAGAGAGCUCCAGCAAAGAGAGGUCUGCAAGUCGCCCAUUGGCUAUAGGAAGAGAAUGCGCUCGGGACUUGAGUGAAAGCUAUUUCAGUCAAGUUACAAAAACAAAAGUCCGGUCACCAUGGGUUAUGGGGUCGAUGAGAAGUAAGGGGCAGAGGUGUUUGGUUGAGGAGCUGCUAGGAUGCAAAAAUGGGGUUAAAGGUGGGAUUUGGGUUGGUUUCUUUUUUUAAAAUCAGUUGAAAUCUCACCACCUAGAGAAAGCCAACACCAACAUUUGGUGACUAUUUCUUGAUACAUUCUUCUGUGCACGUGCACACACAUGUGCAUACACACAUGCACACGGCAUAGCUCAGAGAUGUCAGACCACUGCCAUAAAGCAGGUAUCACAACAAAUGAGUCCCGUGCAUUUUUUUGUUUCCCAGUGCAUAUAAAAGUUAUGUUUACACUAUGUUGUCGUCUACUGAGUAUGCGCUGACAUUACGUCUAAGAAAACAAUGUACAUACCUUAAUUUAAAAAGGAUACUGUUGGGAAAAUGGUCCCAACAGACUUGCUCAAUGCAAGGUUGCCACGAACCUUCAACUGGUUAAAAAAACAAAACAAAACAAAAAAACAAACAAACAAACAAAAAAAACACUAUCUUCAUAUCUUUACACUUUAACCACUCUUUAUCAGAAUCACAAGCAUAGACAUAAAAAAAGUACAGUCUCUCUUCAAAAUCAAAACCCCAAAUCUCUGGGUAACGCACACUACCCUUUGACAAAACAAAUCUGGUUCUGACUUCUGAGAAGCUUAACGUAGAUCAGUCAGCCUAGGAAACAGACACACCCAAUCCACUGAUUUUAGAAGGUAGAGAGAAACUACCCACUUGGAAUGUUUCCAGGGGAUUAAACACGAUGAUCUUAUGAGUGGAGCCCUAGAAGCUGAGGUCAAACCACCUCCUAGCAAGGGAGUACUGACAAUAUACACCCCAAGAGUGGCACCCAGUGAGUCAUGAGGGGGCAAGUUCCACCCUGUGAAGCUUCCACACCUGCCUCUGUCUCACCACCACGGGAAGGAACAACACACAAAGCUCUUCAGUGUGAUGCUGCAAUGUCAACAGAGCUGGGAAUACUGGUUAAACUGGCCUAGGCAGCGGAAUGGCCACUGGGUUUUGGCUUGGGUUUGUGCUAGGAGGAAAUGGGGCAAGAGGUUGGAAUUGUAACACAGCAAAGGUAUACCCCAAAGACUUGCAGAGAAGAGAGCAGACUUGAGUUGUUACUGUAGAAAACUGGAUAUUGUGUAGUUUUUUGUUUUGUUUUGUUACUUAGUGGGGGGACCCAGACACAGAAGCCCCCAAGAAGUGGCUUCAUUUGGUUACAGCUCGCUCUCUCUCCACCUCACCCCUUACUCUCCCUGUUCUGACUUCCCUUUUCUAUAAGUUAUCCUUGAGGUUAUCAACAGGAACAUGUGUGAUAAAGCUUUUCUGUAUGAAUCACUCUCCCUAAUUUAGUAUACAAUAGAAAGAUUUAAAGGUAUUAACGCUCUCUAUAUAUAGCAGAUAUAUAGCUAAAUUUUAACUUUUAACUAGUGAAUAAAAAACUAAACCAUUUAACAGCUUAGCUUAAGGGGACAGCACACAAUUGCUGUAGCGACAUGGAAGAUAAUCCUGAUUUCUUGUUUGUAACAUCAAAACUGAACUCCUUCUGAUCAUGUUUUAAUAAAAAGAAGUAUCAUCCACUUAGGUUAAAAACUAGGUUCCAUUUGAGGGGGAGAGGGGAUUUCUUUCUACCACCACGGAACAGAUACAGGCAGGUAUAAAGUCAAUGGAAUCCUGGGGUGCAGAGGACAAGACUGUGUGGAACUCAAGUCCAAAGCAACACGUUCUUUCCAGGGGUGAAUCAAGGGGACAACAACAGGUGCUUCCUGCUGGACACACUGCUUCUUGGUCUCCUUGACUGAGUUCUCCAGG
Molecule: long non-coding RNA, 2329 nt
Filed under: Sus scrofa (pig)
Lineage: Eukaryota; Metazoa; Chordata; Mammalia; Artiodactyla; Suidae
Description: lncRNA (ENSSSCG00005022152.1)
Source: RNAcentral